Molecule: ribosomal RNA, 237 nt
Filed under: Loris tardigradus (slender loris)
Lineage: Eukaryota; Metazoa; Chordata; Mammalia; Primates; Lorisidae
Description: partial 16S ribosomal RNA
Source: RNAcentral
CCCUAUGGAGCUUAAAUUUAACACUCACAUUACAUACCAAAUCCCACAACAGGGUUACAACACACCUAAUUUUAUGAGUGAACAAUUUUGGUUGGGGUGACCUCGGAGCAUAAAACAACCUCCGAAUAUUUUAAGCAUAGACACAACCAGUCAAAGCAAGAUACAUAACACGUAUCAUAUAAUCAUUGACCCAAAAAUUUGAUCAACGGAACAAGUUACCCUAGGGAUAACAGCGCA